RNAcentral lists this ribosomal RNA (321 nucleotides) under uncultured bacterium. RNAcentral describes it as "bacterial SSU rRNA". It matches the Rfam family "Bacterial small subunit ribosomal RNA", at positions 29 to 334 of the family's 1533-position model. The record is from RNAcentral.
AACGAACGCUGGCGGCGUGCUUAACACAUGCAAGUCGAACGAGAAAGCUCCUUCGGGGGUGAUUAGAGUGGCGCACGGGUGAGUAACACGUAGGUGACCUACCUCAUAGUGGGGGAUAACUGAAAGAAAUUUCAGCUAAUACCGCAUAAUCAAAACAAUUUUGAACGUAGUUUUGUAAAGGAUGCCUCUCCUUGGAAGCAUUCGCUAAGAGAUGGGCCUGCGGCGCAUUAGCUUGAUGGUGGGGUAAUGGCCUACCAUGGCGACGAUGCGUAGCCGGGUUGAGAGAUCGAUCGGCCACACUGGAACUGAGACACGGUCCAG